RNAcentral lists this ribosomal RNA (468 nucleotides) under uncultured bacterium. RNAcentral describes it as "partial 16S ribosomal RNA". It matches the Rfam family "Bacterial small subunit ribosomal RNA", at positions 28 to 507 of the family's 1533-position model. The record is from RNAcentral.
GACGAACGCUGGCGGCGUGCUUAACACAUGCAAGUCGAACGGAAAGGCCCUGCUUUUGUGGGGUGCUCGAGUGGCGAACGGGUGAGUAACACGUGAGUAACCUGCCCUUGACUUUGGGAUAACUUCAGGAAACUGGGGCUAAUACCGGAUAGGAGCUCCUGCUGCAUGGUGGGGGUUGGAAAGUUUCGGCGGUUGGGGAUGGACUCGCGGCUUAUCAGCUUGUUGGUGGGGUAGUGGCUUACCAAGGCUUUGACGGGUAGCCGGCCCGAGAGGGUGACCGGCCACAUGAGGAUUGGGAGGAGGCGCAGAAUGAAACGGAAGGAAGCAGUGGGGAAUAUUGCACAAUGAAAGGAAGAAUUGGGCAGGAAUGCCGCGUGCGGGAUAACGGCUAGCGGGUUGUAAACCGCUUUCGCCUGUGACGAAGCGUGAGUGACGGUAAUGGGUAGAGAAGCACCGGCUAACUACGUG